GACGAACGCUGGCGGCGUGCUUAACACAUGCAAGUCGAACGGAAAGGCCCUGCUUUUGUGGGGUGCUCGAGUGGCGAACGGGUGAGUAACACGUGAGUAACCUGCCCUUGACUUUGGGAUAACUUCAGGAAACUGGGGCUAAUACCGGAUAGGAGCUCCUGCUGCAUGGUGGGGGUUGGAAAGUUUCGGCGGUUGGGGAUGGACUCGCGGCUUAUCAGCUUGUUGGUGGGGUAGUGGCUUACCAAGGCUUUGACGGGUAGCCGGCCUGAGAGGGUGACCGGCCACAGUGGGACUGAGAUACGGCCCAGACUCCUACGGGAGGCAGCAGUGGGGAAUAUGGCACAAUGGGCGGAAGCCUGAUGCAGCAACGCCGCGUGCGGGAUGACGGCCUUCGGGUUUUAAGCCGCUUUCGCCUGUGACGAAGCGUUAGUGACGGUAAUGGGUAAAGAAGCACCGGCUAACUACGUG
RNAcentral lists this ribosomal RNA (468 nucleotides) under uncultured bacterium. Its description in RNAcentral is "partial 16S ribosomal RNA". It matches the Rfam family "Bacterial small subunit ribosomal RNA", at positions 28 to 507 of the family's 1533-position model. The record is from RNAcentral.